Molecule: small nucleolar RNA, 87 nt
Organism: Magnolia sinica
Lineage: Eukaryota; Viridiplantae; Streptophyta; Magnoliopsida; Magnoliales; Magnoliaceae
Source: RefSeq, a predicted model, not a curated record
AUUGGGCAAAUGAGGAAACUCAUUUAAAUGGGUAAUUUGCGUCUGAAAUUCCAUUGAUGCUAACACCUUGGAGAUCUGAUGCCCAUU